CUGUGAAGGUGUGCUGUGAGGCAUGCUGGAGGUAUCAGAAGUGCGAAUGCUGACAUAAGUAACGAUAAAGCGGGUGAAAAGCCCGCUCGCCGGAAGACCAAGGGUUCCUGUCCAACGUUAAUCGGGGCAGGGUGAGUCGACCCCUAAGGCGAGGCCGAAAGGCGUAGUCGAUGGGAAACAGGUUAAUAUUCCUGUACUUGGUGUUACUGCGAAGGGGGGACGGAGAAGGCUAUGUUGGCCGGGCGACGGUUGUCCCGGUUUAAGCGUGUAGGCUGGUUUUCCAGGCAAAUCCGGAAAAUCAAGGCUGAGGCGUGAUGACGAGGCACUACGGUGCUGAAGCAACAAAUGCCCUGCUUCCAGGAAAAGCCUCUAAGCAUCAGGUAACAUCAAAUCGUACCCCAAACCGACACAGGUGGUCAGGUAGAGAAUACCAAGGCGCUUGAGAGAACUCGGGUGAAGGAACUAGGCAAAAUGGUGCCGUAACUUCGGGAGAA
Molecule: ribosomal RNA, 494 nt
Filed under: Escherichia coli
Lineage: Bacteria; Pseudomonadati; Pseudomonadota; Gammaproteobacteria; Enterobacterales; Enterobacteriaceae
Description: partial 23S ribosomal RNA
Rfam family: Bacterial large subunit ribosomal RNA
Source: RNAcentral